AGCAGCCGCGGUAAUUCGGAGGGUGCAAGCGUUACUCGGAAUCACUGGGCGUAAAGGACGCGUAGGCGGGAUGCCAAGUCUGAUGUGAAAUCCUAUGGCUCAACCAUAGAACUGCAUUGGAAACUGGUAACCUAGAGUAUGGGAGGGGGAGAUGGAAUUAGUGGUGUAGGGGUAAAAUCCGUAGAUAUCACUAGGAAUACCGAAAGCGAAGGCGAUCUCCUGGAACAAUACUGACGCUAAGGCGUGAAAGCGUGGGGAGCAAACGGGAUUAGAUACCCCGGUAGUCCACGCCCUAAACGAUGAACACUAGUCGUCGGAAUGCUAGUCAUUUCGGUGAUGCACUUAACAGAUUAAGUGUUCCGCCUGGGGAGUACGGUCGCAAGAUUAAAACUCAAAGGAAUAGACGGGGACCCGCACAAGUGGUGGAGCAUGUGGUUUAAUUCGAAGAUACGCGAAGAACCUUACCUAGCCUUGACAUUGAUUGAACUCAGUAGAGAUACAGAGGUGCCCUUCGGGGAACAUGAAAACAGGUGCUGCACGGCUGUCGUCAGCUCGUGUCGUGAGAUGUUGGGUUAAGUCCCGCAACGAGCGCAACCCUCGUCUUUAGUUGCCAGCAGGUUAAGCUGGGCACUCUAAAGAGACUGCCUUCGCAAGGAGGAGGAAGGUGAGGACGACGUCAAGUCAUCAUGGCCCUUAUGGCUAGGGCUACACACGUGCUACAAUGGGGCGUACAGAGUGUUGCGAUACCGCGAGGUGGAGCUAAUCACUUAAAGCGUCUCUCAGUUCGGAUUGGAGUCUGCAACUCGACUCCAUGAAGCUGGAAUCACUAGUAAUCGUAGAUCAGCAAUGCUACGGUGAAUACGUUCCCGGGUCUUGCACACACCGCCCGU
This 890-nucleotide ribosomal RNA is filed under the name uncultured bacterium. RNAcentral describes it as "bacterial SSU rRNA". It matches the Rfam family "Bacterial small subunit ribosomal RNA", at positions 510 to 1397 of the family's 1533-position model. The record is from RNAcentral.